This 253-nucleotide ribosomal RNA is filed under the name uncultured bacterium. Its description in RNAcentral is "partial 16S ribosomal RNA". It matches the Rfam family "Bacterial small subunit ribosomal RNA", at positions 524 to 776 of the family's 1533-position model. The record is from RNAcentral.
UACGAGUGCUCCAAGCGUUAUCCGGAAUUACUGGGCGUAAAGGGUGUGUAGGUGGUUAUAUUAGUCUCUUGUUAAAGCUCCCGGCUCAACCGGGAAAAGGCAGGGGAAACGGUAUAACUUGAAGAUACGAGAGGUAUGUAGAACUCAUGGUGUAGGGGUGAAAUCCGUUGAUAUCAUGGGGAAUACCAAAAGCGAAGGCAGCAUACUAGCGUACUCUUGACACUGAAACACGAAAGCGUGGGUAGCGAAUGGG